Molecule: ribosomal RNA, 472 nt
Filed under: uncultured bacterium
Lineage: Bacteria
Description: bacterial SSU rRNA
Rfam family: Bacterial small subunit ribosomal RNA
Source: RNAcentral
UGGGGAAUUUUGGACAAUGGGCGCAAGCCUGAUCCAGCCAUACCGCGUGAGUGAAGAAGGCCUUCGGGUUGUAAAGCUCUUUCAGACGGAAAGAAACGGUUACGGCUAAUACCCGUGACUAAUGACGGUACCGUAAGAAGAAGCACCGGCUAACUACGUGCCAGCAGCCGCGGUAAUACGUAGGGUGCGAGCGUUAAUCGGAAUUACUGGGCGUAAAGCGUGCGCAGGCGGUUUGGUAAGACAGAUGUGAAAUCCCCGGGCUUAACCUGGGAACUGCAUUUGUGACUGCCAGACUAGAGUGUAGCAGAGGGGGGUAGAAUUCCACGUGUAGCAGUGAAAUGCGUAGAUAUGUGGAGGAAUACCGAUGGCGAAGGCAGCCCCCUGGGCUAACACUGACGCUCAUGCACGAAAGCGUGGGGAGCAAACAGGAUUAGAUACCCCUGUAGUCCCUGAGCGGGCUGGCAAGGCGCAU